Molecule: ribosomal RNA, 602 nt
Filed under: Cortinarius alboviolaceus
Lineage: Eukaryota; Fungi; Basidiomycota; Agaricomycetes; Agaricales; Cortinariaceae
Description: eukaryotic LSU rRNA
Rfam family: Eukaryotic large subunit ribosomal RNA
Source: RNAcentral
UGUGACCUCAAAUCAGGUAGGACUACCCGCUGAACUUAAGCAUAUCAAUAAGCGGAGGAAAAGAAACUAACAAGGAUUCCCCUAGUAACUGCGAGUGAAGCGGGAAAAGCUCAAAUUUAAAAUCUGGCAGUCUCUUGGCUGUCCGAGUUGUAAUCUAGAGAAGUGUUAUCCGCGCUGGACCGUGUACAAGUCUCCUGGAAUGGAGCAUCAUAGAGGGUGAGAAUCCCGUCUUUGACAUGGACUACCAGGGCUUUGUGAUGCGCUCUCAAAGAGUCGAGUUGUUUGGGAAUGCAGCUCAAAAUGGGUGGUAAAUUCCAUCUAAAGCUAAAUAUUGGCGAGAGACCGAUAGCGAACAAGUACCGUGAGGGAAAGAUGAAAAGAACUUUGGAAAGAGAGUUAAACAGUACGUGAAAUUGCUGAAAGGGAAACGCUUGAAGUCAGUCGCAUCAUCCAGGGAUCAACCUUGCUUUUGCUUGGUGCACUUCCUGGUUUGAUGGGUCAGCAUCAAUUUUGACUAUUGGAAAAAGGUUAAGGGAAUGUGGCAUCUUUGGAUGUGUUAUAGCCCUUGGUCACAUACAAUGGUUGGGAUUGAGGAACUCAGC